CAUGUAGGCGGCAUGACAAGUCUGGUGUGAAAUAUCUCGGCUCAACCGAGAAAACGCACUGGAAACUGUCAAGCUUGAGUAUCGGAGGGGAAGCUAGAAUUCCUGGUGUAGGGGUGAAAUCCGUAGAUAUCAGGAAGAAUACCGGUGGCGAAGGCGAGCUUCUGGCCAGAUACUGACGCUGAGAUGCGAAAGCGUGGGGAGCGAACAGGAUUAGAUACCCUGGUAGUCC
Molecule: ribosomal RNA, 229 nt
Filed under: uncultured bacterium
Lineage: Bacteria
Description: partial 16S ribosomal RNA
Rfam family: Bacterial small subunit ribosomal RNA
Source: RNAcentral